UAAACGUAAAUCCCUUUUAUGUUUCAUCCUAUAAACAUAACAGCACUUAAAACUUGCUCCUUUGCUUCUGUCAUUCAGAGGACGGCGGCACAGCCUCACGGUGGUCUCAAGGCUCCAGGGGUUCCUCCUCCGAGCGGUGGGCCCCGGCCGGGCCCCUAGUCGGAGGAGAGCGGGUGGGGGAACCGCCAGCGCAGGAUGGCCCCGUCUGAGCUGGUGGUCACUAGGGUGCGGCUGCUGCCACACAGCCUGACGCAGGUGAUGCUGCCGCUGUGGCCCGCGCCCACGUGGGUCACCUCGCCCUCCGAGUAGCUCCACACCUUCACCAGCUUGUCGUCUCCGCCUGCCCGGGGGAAACAUAGGAUCUUCUUGCAGUCCCUGGUGCCGGCGAUGGCGGUCACACCCAUGCUGUGUGCGUUGUCGAUGACCAGCAGGGUCCGGCCACUCUCGGGGGCGAACACGCGGAUCUUGCCGUCGUUCCAAGCUAUGGGAAAGACGCCGCUGAAUCAUCCCCAUGCUCCUGGUUCCACAAGUACAGUGAUGGGUCCUACCACUGAUGAUGCUCCGUCCGUCCACCAUGAUGUCCAGGGCAUUGCAGGUCAUGUUGGGAACGGUGAUGCGGAGUCGCUCCUUGGAGCGAUCCACGUGCCACACCCUGAUGUCCUCCUUGGAGCAGAUCCAUGUGUGUCUGUGAGUCUGCCACUCACUAGGGGAUGGCCACGGCCGUGACGGCGCUGCUGUGGCUGGAGGAGAUGAGCUCCGGCUCCUCCAGGUGGGUGUAGCUGAAGCGGUACAUCUGGGACACAUCCGUUCCAACCAGCAGCUGCUGGCCCUCACCCCGCAUGGCGAUGGAGGUCACCGCUCCCUCCAGCUGCACGCGUCUGGAACCCCGCGUGUGUGUGGGUGCAAAGGAUGAGCAGGGGGCAAAAAGAGAUGGGUUUGAUUGAUUAUCACCAGGAGGACCAAGGAAUGGUGUAUAAACGAUUGCUAAAUAAAUGCGUAUAUAUUUAAG
Long non-coding RNA from Gadus chalcogrammus (walleye pollock), 1009 nucleotides. RefSeq lists it as uncharacterized. The transcript has 4 exons. The record is from RefSeq and is a predicted model, not a curated record. Lineage: Eukaryota; Metazoa; Chordata; Actinopteri; Gadiformes; Gadidae.